Molecule: ribosomal RNA, 1035 nt
Filed under: Dorvilleidae sp. A ZW-2021
Lineage: Eukaryota; Metazoa; Annelida; Polychaeta; Eunicida; Dorvilleidae
Description: partial large subunit ribosomal RNA
Rfam family: Eukaryotic large subunit ribosomal RNA
Source: RNAcentral
AGGAUUCCCUCAGUAACGGCGAGUGAAACGGGAAGAGGCCAGCGCCGAAUCCCCUGUCCUCUAGCUGGCAGCGGGAACUGUGGCGUACAGGAAGCGACCUACCUCGAGGUCUACAGCGUCCGAGUCCUCCUGAUCGAGGCCCCUCCCAGGGCGGGUGUCAGGCCUCUACGGCGCGAGACCUCUUGGUCGACAGCUCCCUUGGAGUCGGGUUGUUUGGAAGUGCAACCCAAAGCGGGUGGUAAACUCCAUCUAAGCCUAAAUACUGCCGGGAGACCGAUAGUGCACAAGUAGGGUGACCGAAAGCUGCAACAGCACUUUGGAGAGAGAGUUCAAGAGUACGUGAAACCGCUCAGAGGCAAACUGACGGGACCGCCAAGUCGACCUGCGGGAAUCAGUCGUGCAGGCACUGCCUCUGGCUCGGGGGACGUCGGGGACCGUUAGCUCGGCUCCCGCUCUCUCGGGCGCUGGAGGGCCUGUCGGCGUACUUUCCGCAGGGAGAGCGCCACGACCGGUUUCGGGGCAGCCAGAAGCCUCUCGGGAAGGUAGCCCUGUCGAGGGAUUCGUUCUCUCUUCGGGGAACUUAUAGCCCGGGAACGCGUUGGCCUGUUCGAGGGACCGAGGUGACAUCGACCGCUGCGUCCGCCUUCAGGGCGCAGGCCCCGGUCUCUGGUCUGGACGUCGGAGGGUCUUUCGGGUUAGUUCCCGUCAGCUCCCGAGGCGGCUCUGGGCCAGCAGCACCGGGUGACACGCCUGCACCAGACGCACAGGGUCUGUGGCGAGUCGGUCGGCACCCCGUCAGACCCGUCUUGAAACACGGACCAAGGAGUCCGACACGCGUGCGAGUCAGGGGGCUCUACGAAACCCCAAGGCGCAAUGAAGGUGAAGACCAGGACCCCGUCUUGGUUGAGGUGGGAUCCCUUGUCGCUCGGCAGGGGCGCACCACCGGCCCGUCUCGACGUCCGUUGGGGCAGAGGCGGAGCAGGAGCACGCGCGUCGGGACCCGAAAGACGGUGAACUAUGCCCGAGUAGGACGAA